UGGGGAAUAUUGGACAAUGGGCGCAAGCCUGAUCCAGCCAUGCCGCGUGAGUGAUGAGGGCCCUAGGGUUGUAAAGCUCUUUCACCGGUGAAGAUAAUGACGGUAACCGGAGAAGAAGCCCCGGCUAACUUCGUGCCAGCAGCCGCGGUAAUACGAAGGGGGCUAGCGUUGUUCGGAUUUACUGGGCGUAAAGCGCACGUAGGCGGACUUUUAAGUCAGGGGUGAAAUCCCGGGGCUCAACCACGGAACUGCCUUUGAUACUGGAAGUCUUGAGUAUGGUAGAGGUGAGUGGAAUUCCGAGUGUAGAGGUGAAAUUCGUAGAUAUUCGGAGGAACACCAGUGGCGAAGGCGGCUCACUGGACCAUUACUGACGCUGAGGUGCGAAAGCGUGGGGAGCAAAACAGGAUUAGAUACCCUGGUAGUCCACGCCGUAAACGAUGAAUGUUAGCCGUUGGGGAGUUUACUCUUCGGUGGCGCAGCUAACGCAUUAAACAUUCCGCCUGGGGAGUACGGUCGCAAGAUUAAAACUUAAAUGAAUUGACGGGGAUCAUAGCUGUUUCCU
This 562-nucleotide ribosomal RNA is filed under the name uncultured bacterium. RNAcentral describes it as "partial 16S ribosomal RNA". It matches the Rfam family "Bacterial small subunit ribosomal RNA", at positions 355 to 1375 of the family's 1533-position model. The record is from RNAcentral.